Oreochromis aureus is the source of this 444-nucleotide long non-coding RNA. The record is from Ensembl. NCBI's taxonomy places the organism in Eukaryota, Metazoa, Chordata, Actinopteri, Cichliformes, Cichlidae.
AAAUCUGAACUCCAGCGUCAAAUCGCGCCGCGACAACCAAUCAGGAGCCUGGUGACGUGGCUGUGACCUAGGUCAAAGGGGCAGAUCCAGCCAAAGCCCUUCAUUCUUUAAUGGAGGGAAGGCUAAUCAACGCCGUAGCAAACAACCCGGAGCUGUACGACACCAGCUGCUUUCUGUACCGAGACAGGAAUAUAAAGGACCGAGCUUGGAGGAAGAUAUGUGAAGAGAUCGGGCAACCUGAACCAACUGAUUCUGCAGCAGAGCAUCCCCUGUUGCUUCUCCUUGCUCCCCAGUCCCUGAGCUCCUGCUGCUGCACCCACAGGCCCAGAGAGGAGGACAGCUCCGAGGCAGAUGAGGGACUGGUCCCAGGACGGUCCAUCGGCGGUGGAGCUGGCCAUCCUGGUGUCCCUGAAGAGGCCACGCCAGUCUCCAAUGGAGCAUUUC